This 265-nucleotide ribosomal RNA is filed under the name uncultured prokaryote. RNAcentral's name for it is "partial 16S ribosomal RNA". It matches the Rfam family "Bacterial small subunit ribosomal RNA", at positions 524 to 788 of the family's 1533-position model. The record is from RNAcentral.
UACGUAGGUGGCGAGCGUUGUCCGGAUUUACUGGGCGUAAAGGGAGCGUAGGCGGACUUCUAAGUGAGAUGUGAAAUACCCGGGCUCAACUUGGGUGCUGCAUUUCAAACUGGAAGUCUAGAGUGCAGGAGAGGAGAAUGGAAUUCCUAGUGUAGCGGUGAAAUGCGUAGAGAUUAGGAAGAACACCAGUGGCGAAGGCGAUUCUCUGGACUGUAACUGACGCCGAGGCUCGAAAGCGUGGGGAGCAAACAGGAUUAGAUACCCG